UCUUAAGCGGUGUAAAUGUUUUACGCGAAAUUGUUUUUAUUUUAACAUUCGAAGAGAGAUCAAGAUCGAAAUGGUUUAAGUACAGAGGUAAAAUACAAACAUUCGACGUAAUGUAGGAAUUCUCUUGGGGAUUGAUAAAGUUUAAGCAAUCAUGGCGGACGAAUGCUCAUAGCGUGUCUUGUGUGUCGGUGUAACUGAAAGUAAAGUGAUCGUUCAUGAAAUUACAACUUCGUGAGGAAGAGACAUUGAAAGAAAAAAGGAACGUCGAAGGGACGACGGACAUCUUGAAAAAUAUUAAAUUACUAUGCAAUUUCUAAUUCGUUACGUUACAGGUAAUGAGAGAGAGAGAAAG
This is a long non-coding RNA of Vespa mandarinia (Asian giant hornet), 352 nucleotides long. Lineage: Eukaryota; Metazoa; Arthropoda; Insecta; Hymenoptera; Vespidae. The record is from RefSeq and is a predicted model, not a curated record.